This 367-nucleotide long non-coding RNA is filed under the name Homo sapiens (human). RNAcentral describes it as "HSALNT0381307". Lineage: Eukaryota; Metazoa; Chordata; Mammalia; Primates; Hominidae. The record is from RNAcentral.
AGGUCUUUAUUAGAUCACCUAGUGGCCCAGUGGUUAAAAGCAUAAACUUGGGAGAUAGACAAACCUGCAUUUCAAUCUCUGCUGGAAUACUCAGCCACUGUGUGACCUCAGCCCUAAGCCCUGAAAUGCGUAUCAUCUGGCACAAAGACAUCGUUUACAUUUGUUGAAUAGCUGCGUGCUUAGACUUGAUCCGAUCUUAUUCACCACUUAUACUGAUGUGUAUCUUUGGAACUCACAACAAGCAAUAUAAACCAUCAACAAAACCAGACCUCAGGAGUCUUUCUGCCCUACAUUUUAGAAGGACACAUUCUGCCCUGAGCAGGAUGAUAGGAAUAAAGAAACAGCACUUUGGGAGGCCGAGGCAGGC